Molecule: ribosomal RNA, 301 nt
Filed under: uncultured bacterium
Lineage: Bacteria
Description: partial 16S ribosomal RNA
Rfam family: Bacterial small subunit ribosomal RNA
Source: RNAcentral
CAGCCGCCGCGGUAAUACGUAGGGUGCGAGCGUUAAUCGGAAUUACUGGGCGUAAAGCGUGCGCAGGCGGCUAUGCAAGACAGAUGUGAAAUCCCCGGGCUCAACCUGGGAACUGCAUCUGUGACUGCAUGGCUAGAGUACGGUAGAGGGGGAUGGAAUUCCGCGUGUAGCAGUGAAACGCGUAGAUAUGUGGAGGAACACCGAUGGCGAAGGCAAUCCCCUGGACCUGUACUGACGCUCAUGCACGAAAGCGUGGGGAGCAAACAGGAUUAGAUACCCCGGUAGUCCCUGUCUCUUAUAC